Long non-coding RNA from Perca flavescens (yellow perch), 884 nucleotides. RefSeq lists it as uncharacterized. Lineage: Eukaryota; Metazoa; Chordata; Actinopteri; Perciformes; Percidae. The transcript is spliced from 3 exons. The record is from RefSeq and is a predicted model, not a curated record.
AUCAUUGACAGCUCAAGAUGCGUUAGUCAUGAGUUUCGUCGUGUCAUUAGCCCGUUUGCUUAAAAAAACAAACGUCUGUAGGACUAAAGAACGGUUUAAAAGUUUUUGGAUUAUUAUUAUCAUUGAGACAGCUGAUAAGUGACGCAUUCAAGCCAACUGGGAAAGAAGGGCACUGACCUGGCUGGUAGAAGGAAGGGGAGAGCUCUUUGGCCACCAGUCUGGCGAUGCUGGACUCACUGUUGGAGGCCUGUGCAGCCUGAUCAGCCCCAUCGGACUUGGCCUUCGCAUGGGUCGUCCUGCAGGGGAACACACAUGCGACACGAUUCAUAAAUCACUGGCACUCUGAGAGCGCAGACCUUUGCCAAGGCAAGGCCCAUUUCACUGGAGCUGUAUGCAUCACUCCAGUGACUUAUCUCUGUCUCAUGGAAAUAUGUGUGAUGAGUCUUUAGUUACUUGCCAGCCAUAACUCAUUGUCCUGCUGGGGGGGUGGGGUGAUAAAAAUAUAAUUUAUUUCUGUUCCAGCCCAACAGCAGAAAAUGACACCUCCUCUCUCAAUAGCUAUUAAUACUAAGGAGCCAUAUGACCUGCAGCCACGCACCCAUUGAAUACUGUAAACAAUCCCCUUUACUGUAAUAUUUUUGGUUAAACUGUUUUAAGCCUUCAUCUAUUAGGUUUCCCAUUCAAGGUUCAUACAUAAGGUCAAGAUCAAAGUCAGCAUGCAUUUAGUCUGGAUGCGACGACGGUUCAUUUACCGCAGGAUUCCCUUACCUUCCGCUUUCUAUGUGUUUAUGUUCUAACCUCCGAGCUACCUAGCUAACGUUCCAUGCUGAAAAUGGCAAGUUUUGGAGAAAAUUUAGAUUGUGCAACAACGCAGGCCUGCUUGG